CACAUACUUCCAGUUUUGUGAUUAUCUGCUCACUAUGCAACAAAUACUUCUAGUGUUACUUCAAGCAUAAUUGUCAUUUACCAUAUUUCUCUUCCAGGUACCAGCAGAAAUCUUUCUGGUUAAGACUAGAAGACUACUUAUGACAAGAAUUAUACUGAUGAUGGCAAAUAUACUAGUUACAAUCACUGUAUCCAAGGACACUGUCAACAAGGAUAAAAUUAUACCUCUACCUUGGAAGACAGCUAUACAGUUGGAAGGAACCUUCUACACCUUCCUAAUUCCUUACGCUCUUUCCCGAAACAUUAUCUUUUGGUCACUGUUGGAGAGAUGCUACGAAUAUUAUUUAUUAUGACACACCUACCUAACCAAAACAUGUCAAAAAUAGAAAUGACUUUACCAGGCCAAGUAGUCAAUAUUGUUUGUCAUACCUCCAAGAGAUCUGAUCCUCAGUAAGGAAGUAAAUAGAACCAAAUUGAAGAAAAAAGUCUGAAGAGAAUAACACCUGAGGCUGGCAGGAGAUAUCUGAGAGUGAGAACUGAAGACAUUGGGCAUUAAGUGUACAAGAGGACUAGAAGGCUGGUUCUGUGCUGCAGAGGAGAUGGAAGUUAUAAUAUCAUCUGCCUCUGUACUUAACCGUGCAGGGAGCUAGAAAGCUUGAGGAAUCUGAGAGCUGGCGUUGGCAAGGCUCCCAAGGUACUGGAAUACCUAAGAACAUGGUUUGCCGAAGAAUAGCUCUGAACACAAGAGGAAACUAGUAGAAGCACAGAUGUUUACAGGAACAUAUUCACAGUCCAGCAGAAGCUGCUCAAAAAUGUAGAUGCAUGCUUCUUGUACAAAUCUGUGCUGUUUGCACAAGUACAGAGUUUACCUUUCUAUUUAGUUUCAUAAAGACACUUUGAAGAAAAUUCUCCAAAAGAAUAAACAAACACAUACAAAUUUGAAAAUAUUGACA
RNAcentral lists this long non-coding RNA (952 nucleotides) under Struthio camelus australis. RNAcentral describes it as "lncRNA (ENSSCUG00000006551.1)". Lineage: Eukaryota; Metazoa; Chordata; Aves; Struthioniformes; Struthionidae. The record is from RNAcentral.